RNAcentral lists this transfer RNA (59 nucleotides) under Micrurus brasiliensis. RNAcentral's name for it is "tRNA-Ser". RNAcentral also lists the same sequence under 3 other names. Lineage: Eukaryota; Metazoa; Chordata; Lepidosauria; Squamata; Elapidae. The record is from RNAcentral.
CACACCUGAGAGGGUUAUAAGACCUGCUAACUCUUUAACCUGGCACUAACUAUCCAGCC